RNAcentral lists this ribosomal RNA (398 nucleotides) under uncultured bacterium. Its description in RNAcentral is "bacterial SSU rRNA". It matches the Rfam family "Bacterial small subunit ribosomal RNA", at positions 361 to 776 of the family's 1533-position model. The record is from RNAcentral.
AUCUUGGACAAUGGGGGAAACCCUGAUCCAGCCAUGCCGCGUGAGUGAUGAAGGCCCUAGGGUUGUAAAGCUCUUUUAGCAGGGAAGAUAAUGACGGUACCUGCAGAAAAAGCCCCGGCUAACUUCGUGCCAGCAGCCGCGGUAAUACGAAGGGGGCUAGCGUUGCUCGGAAUCACUGGGCGUAAAGCGCACGUAGGCGGAUCUUUAAGUCAGGGGUGAAAGCCUGGAGCUCAACUCCAGAACUGCCUUUGAUACUGAAGAUCUUGAGUUCGGGAGAGGUGAGUGGAACUGCGAGUGUAGAGGUGAAAUUCGUAGAUAUUCGCAAGAACACCAGUGGCGAAGGCGGCUCACUGGCCCGAUACUGACGCUGAGGUGCGAAAGCGUGGGGAGCAAACAGG